UCUCGUCAUAAUUAUAUAUAUAAUUAAUUUAAUAUAUGCAUAUCUUUUUACAAAACAAAAUUGUUGAAAGCAAUGGAAUCUCAAACUUGUGUGAUUUGUGGAGGACAUUCAGUUCAUAAGUGCAGUGCCUGUGAAAAUGUUUAUUACUGUAGCAAGAAACAUCAAAAAGAAGAUUGGAAGAAACAUUCAAAAGUUUGUAAAUCCUUUAAGUUAGCAGAAAAUCCUUCAUUGGGUCGUCAUUACGUAGCUACGAGAAAUAUCAAAGUUGGAGAAAUUAUUCUACGGGAUGAUCAACCCCUGAUAACAGGUCUUAUGUACAACAGUGUCCCCGUGUGCCUUCAAUGUUAUACGAUGUUAAAUCAAGAGAUUGCAAUACCUUGCGAAAAAUGUGGCUGGCCUCUUUGUCAAAACUGUAACGAACAUGGAUUGGAAUGCAAAUUUUCAUGUUCUCGCAGAGAUUCUAAGAUAUCAAUAACCGAAUUUGGCUAUCCCCAUCCGAGUUAUCAAUGUAUAAAUAUUAUAAGAGCUUUGUCAUUGAAGGAUACUAAUCCAGAAUCUUAUAAAAAGUUAAUAUCCCUCGAAAGCCACUGCAAUGAAAUAAAUAAUUCUAAAGAGCCAUUAAAUAUUGCUCAUUUUAUCAAGAGGUUCUUCAAGGCAGAUGACAUAUCGGAAGAAGAAAUUGUAACAAUCAUUGGCAUCUUGCAGGUUAAUGGUCACGAAGUUCCAUUAACCGACUCACCAUACGUAGCGGUUUAUGAAAUGGCAUCAUUAAUUGAGCAUAAUUGUAGAGCCAAUUGCUCAAAAAGUUUCACCGAUAUGGGAGGAUUGAUUAUUCGUGCUGCACUACCUAUUACGAAAGGAGAUCACAUUUCUAUAUGUUAUACUGAUCCAUUAUGGGGUACUGCAAAUAGAAGACAUCACCUUCUUAAAACAAAAUUUUUUGAAUGUAUUUGUAAUCGAUGUCAAGAUCCUACAGAAUUUCAAACUAUGUUCAAUGCUUUAAAAUGCAAUAAAAUAAAUUGUUCAGGAUACGUAUUGCCAAAAACUUUCCUUGAACAAGAACAAGAUUACGUAUGCAAAACUUGUGAAUCGAUCGUUUCUUGUACAGAGAUUGAAAAAAUGUUGGAAGACAUUGGUAUACGCCUAUCAAAUAUGAAGAAAAACGAUAUUGUUGCAUGUAAAGAAUUUCUAGACCGAUAUAAAAAUAAUCUUCAUCCAAAUCAUUAUUAUAACAUCGAUGUGACGAUCGCCUUGACUCAAUUGAUUGGACAACAAACUGGAGGAUUGGCGGUAAUCGAGGAAGAUCUUCUGAUUGAGAAAAUAAAAUUAUGCAAAAAAUUGGAUACUUUGCUUAAAUUGCUCGUUCCAGGUGAAGAAUUCUUGAAAACCCUAUUCGUUCUAAACCAAUCCCUACGACGACUGAACGAAGUUGGACGUGCUCGUAAUCAAUCGUCUUACCGAUCUCACACAUGCUUGGCUAUCGAUAAAUAGAGCUGAAAACCGAAUUCGAGGUUUAAUUCUUUUUGAGUUACAUGCAUCUCUUGCAGAAUUAAGUAGAAGAUAUAAAAAUGAGGAAACUAUGAUAUCAUUAAUGCAGGAAUCAAAAAAAUAUUUAAUUGAUGGCUAUCAAUUAUUAAAAUAUGAACCAAAAAUUCUGCCAGAAGGAAAAAUUGCUCAACAUGCUGAAAAAAAUUUAGAAGAAAUAACUAAGCUUUUAAAACGGUUUCAUGUGAAAUAAAAUUCAUAAUAAUUAUGUAUUAAAUA
Molecule: RNA transcript, 1764 nt
Organism: Apis florea (little honeybee)
Lineage: Eukaryota; Metazoa; Arthropoda; Insecta; Hymenoptera; Apidae
Gene name: SET domain-containing protein SmydA-8
Source: RefSeq, a predicted model, not a curated record